This 440-nucleotide ribosomal RNA is filed under the name uncultured bacterium. RNAcentral describes it as "partial 16S ribosomal RNA". It matches the Rfam family "Bacterial small subunit ribosomal RNA", at positions 338 to 795 of the family's 1533-position model. The record is from RNAcentral.
CCUACGGGGGGCUGCAGUGGGGAAUAUUGCACAAUGGGGGAAACCCUGAUGCAGCGACGCCGCGUGAGUGAAGAAGUAUUUCGGUACGUAAAGCUCUAUCAGCAGGGAAGAAAAUGACGGUACCUGACUAAGAAGCACCGGCUAACUACGUGCCAGCAGCCGCGGUAAUACGGCGGCGGCAAGCGUUAUCCGGAUUUACUGGGUGUAAAGGGAGCGUAGACGGCAGCGCAAGUCUGGAGUGAAAUCCCAUGGCUUAACCAUGGAACUGCUUUGGAAACUGUGGAGCUAGAGUGCAGGAGAGGUAGGCGGAAUGCCUAGUGUAGCGGUGAAAUGCGUAGAUAUUAGGAAGAACACCGAUGGCGAAGGCAGCUUACUGGACUGUAACUGACGUUGAGGCUCGAAAGCGUGGGGAGCAAACAGGAUUAGAUACCCCGGUAGUC